CUGUCUCCCCCAUUAGACUGUGAGCUCCUUGAGGGCAGGAAUGGCUUUUG
Molecule: microRNA precursor, 50 nt
Organism: Vombatus ursinus (common wombat)
Lineage: Eukaryota; Metazoa; Chordata; Mammalia; Diprotodontia; Vombatidae
Source: Ensembl